Molecule: ribosomal RNA, 253 nt
Filed under: uncultured bacterium
Lineage: Bacteria
Description: partial 16S ribosomal RNA
Rfam family: Bacterial small subunit ribosomal RNA
Source: RNAcentral
UACAGAGGGGGCAAGCGUUGUUCGGAAUUACUGGGCGUAAAGGGCGCGUAGGCGGCCUGUUAAGUCGAACGUGAAAUCCCCGGGCUCAACCCGGGAACUGCGUCCGAUACUGGCAGGCUUGAAUUCGGGAGAGGGAUGCGGAAUUCCAGGUGUAGCGGUGAAAUGCGUAGAUAUCGGAAGGAACAUCAGUGGCGAAGGCGACUUCCUGGACCAAUACUGACGCUCAGGUGCGAAAGCGUGGGGAGCAAACAGG